AUUGAACGCUGGCGGCAUGCUUUACACAUGCAAGUCGAACGGUAACAGGUUAAGCUGACGAGUGGCGAACGGGCGAGUAAUGCAUCGGAACGUGCCCGGUCGUGGGGGAUAACGCAGCGAAAGCUGCGCUAAUACCGCAUACGAUCUGAGGAUGAAAGCGGGGGACCGUAAGGACUCGCGCGAUCGGAGCGGCCGAUGUCAGAUGAGGUAGUUGGUGGGGUAAAGGCUCACCAAGCCAACGAUCUGUAGCUGGUCGGAGAGGACGACCAGCCACACUGGGACUGAGACACGGCCCAGACUCCUACGGGAGGAAGCAGUGGGGAAUGUUGGACAAUGGGCGAAAGCGUGAUCCAGCAAUGCCGCGUGCAGGAAGAAGGCCUUCGGGUUGUAAACUGCUUUUGGACGGAGCGAAAAGGUCUCCUCUAAUACAGGGGGCUCAUGACGGUACCGUAAGAAUAAGCACCGGCUAACUACGUGCCAGCCGCCGCGGUAA
This 493-nucleotide ribosomal RNA is filed under the name uncultured bacterium. RNAcentral describes it as "partial 16S ribosomal RNA". It matches the Rfam family "Bacterial small subunit ribosomal RNA", at positions 29 to 523 of the family's 1533-position model. The record is from RNAcentral.